AGCCAAAGAAUAAGGUGGGGCGGGUUCCUUCAGCUUCUCUCUGCUUCGCCUUUUUCUUUGGAUCAUUGUUGCAUCUCACAUUUGAGGUAUGGAAAGUGACAUUAUAAAACCUAAGGUUUACCAAUUUGUGGUGAGAGCCCUGCCAGAUCAGGUCUGCGCGUAAGGGUGUCAGUGGUUCUGUAAAUAAAACAGAAUAUGCAUGAAGGACAUCUCCACCAGUGGAGGAGAUCUCCAGUGCACCAGUGCAGGACACCCAUCUCAACGUUAAGCACAGUUUUUGCCACGGUGCCCCAGCAGCAGGGAUGAAGAUGAUGAUGAUGCAGUGCCUCAUUGGCAAAGCAAAAAUCAAGUCAGUGCAACAGGGUCUGCUACUGAUGGCAAGAAUAGAUAAAGAAUAUUUUAUAUUUGAAAUGAUAACAUAUUCAUACUUAUUGUACUGGUUUUGCCUCAAAUAAUGCUCCGUUAAUCGGGGUCGGGGAGGUCUCUAAAAGAAUACUCAUAACUUAAAAAAAUCACUUUGCCCUGCAUAUUUUUCUUAUGUCUAAGACCAUAUGGAUGUAUUCUGAA
Molecule: long non-coding RNA, 567 nt
Organism: Haemorhous mexicanus (house finch)
Lineage: Eukaryota; Metazoa; Chordata; Aves; Passeriformes; Fringillidae
Exons: 3
Source: RefSeq, a predicted model, not a curated record